GCACCCAUAGCUCAAUUGGAUAGAGCGGCAGCCUACGGAGCUGUAGGUUGGGGGUUCGACUCCCUCUGGGUGCACAA
Molecule: transfer RNA, 77 nt
Filed under: Ignavibacteriota bacterium
Lineage: Bacteria; Pseudomonadati; Ignavibacteriota
Description: Ignavibacteriae bacterium tRNA-Arg
Rfam family: tRNA
About the family: Transfer RNA (tRNA) molecules are approximately 80 nucleotides in length. Their secondary structure includes four short double-helical elements and three loops (D, anti-codon, and T loops). Further hydrogen bonds mediate the characteristic L-shaped molecular structure. tRNAs have two regions of fundamental functional importance: the anti-codon, which is responsible for specific mRNA codon recognition, and the 3' end, to which the tRNAs corresponding amino acid is attached (by aminoacyl-tRNA synthetases). tRNAs cope with the degeneracy of the genetic code in two manners: having more than one tRNA (with a specific anti-codon) for a particular amino acid; and 'wobble' base-pairing, i.e. permitting non-standard base-pairing at the 3rd anti-codon position.
Source: RNAcentral